This 481-nucleotide unclassified non-coding RNA is filed under the name Hevea brasiliensis (rubber tree). The record is from RNAcentral. Lineage: Eukaryota; Viridiplantae; Streptophyta; Magnoliopsida; Malpighiales; Euphorbiaceae.
AGAGUUUUAAAUCCUAAUCUAAGUAGAACUUAAAUAACAAAACCAAUUCUAAUUUAAAAUAAAUUCUAGAUUUCUAAGUUAUAUGGAAUAGAUUCUAAAUAAAGAGAAAUUAAAAUACUAAAAUAGAAAUAAGAGUUCUAAUUAAAAUAGAAUUGGAGAAAAUCAACUUUGAAAUUGGUAGUCUUCCACAUUCUGCCAAUACCAAAACAACUUAUACGAAGUUGGCAAAGCUUGAACUAAACACCGCUUCUCAACGUGACUAUGGUCCAAGCUUGACGGGACACAGGUCUUCAAUAGUGAUGUUAUACGCACAGCAUCAUAAACUUCAUUGAUUUAUUUAUUUUUUACAUUGGUAUAAACUAACCAAAUACAGUAAUGUACACUCUAAGGAAACUUUUAUUUCCAAUAAAAAAAGGUAAUAUUGCAUUUCUAAAAUCACUUGCAGGAAUUCAACUUUUCCAAGAAAGUGAUUUCGAAUAUA